Molecule: small RNA, 546 nt
Filed under: Histoplasma capsulatum
Lineage: Eukaryota; Fungi; Ascomycota; Eurotiomycetes; Onygenales; Ajellomycetaceae
Also listed under: 1 other name
Description: hypothetical RNA
Source: RNAcentral
AAUUUCCUUUUUUACUUCGUUGACGUUUCGUUUUCAACUUCUUUCCUUCUUUUCCUUCCGUGUUCCAUAGCGCGCCUUUGAAAAGGUUGGAGCUUGUUCCAAACUGGAACAAAAUCACCACAAAGUGUGAUCCGUUGGAAUGUAUGUGUAGUACAUUACCACCGCAUUCAAUUUGAUAUAUGGGAUUUUCCGAGUCGAAAUACUAAAAAAGGUUACGCUUGGGUUUUGACCCAGCUUCGGAGAAUCAUAAUUUAGAUAUUCGUCCAUUAUAAUGCAGAAAGGAAAUUGGAGAAUCAUCAAGUCCAUGCCAUCAGUCAGAUAUUAUCAUCGGUCUAUAGAUAUUUGAAAUAUGUCAUCAGUUAUGCCGUGCGCGCAAAGAAUCAGUGACUGAAACUGAUCUGCAUAUACCAAGAAAAAUAAUCAUCAAUGCACUUGUAGGAUCCAAAUAAAGAAAAGUAGAAAGAAAGUGAGAAGAAGAAAAGAAGAAAAAAGAAAUCAAAAAAUUAGAAAUUCUCCCCUUCUAAUUUAAUGCAAAAUGCAAGGGCA